UACAGUGGCGGUCCCGCCGCAGCUUCCAUUGCGUAGUAGCUAACACCUCGCAACUGGAGAGCGGCGCGGCCACGCCGUAAAACACCCAACUUCUGAAUGUUGACCUCGAAUCAGGUAGGAAUACCCGCUGAACUUAAGCAUAUCAAUAAGCGGAGGAAAAGAAACCAACAGGGAUUGCCCCAGUAACGGCGAGUGAAGCGGCAACAGCUCAAAUUUGAAAUCUGGCUCUCGGGCCCGAGUUGUAAUUUGUAGAGGAUGCUUUUGGUGAGGUGCCUUCCGAGUUCCCUGGAACGGGACGCCAUAGAGGGUGAGAGCCCCGUCUGGUUGGACACCGAUCCUCUGUAAAGCUCCUUCGACGAGUCGAGUAGUUUGGGAAUGCUGCUCUAAAUGGGAGGUAUAUGUCUUCUAAAGCUAAAUACCGGCCAGAGACCGAUAGCGCACAAGUAGAGUGAUCGAAAGAUGAAAAGAACUUUGAAAAGAGAGUUAAACAGUACGUGAAAUUGUUGAAAGGGAAGCGCUUGUGACCAGACUUGGGCUUGGUUGAUCAUCCGGGGUUCUCCCCGGUGCACUCUUCCGGCYCAGGCCAGCAUCAGUUCGCCCUGGGGGAYAAAGGCUUCGGGAAUGUGGCUCUCUCCGGGGAGUGUUAUAGCCCGUUGCGUAAUACCCUGUGGCGGACUGAGGU
RNAcentral lists this ribosomal RNA (682 nucleotides) under fungal sp. Its description in RNAcentral is "eukaryotic LSU rRNA". Lineage: Eukaryota; Fungi. The record is from RNAcentral.